CCUACGGGUGGCUGCAGUGGGGAGUAUUGGACUAUGGGCGAAAGCCUGAUCCAGCCAUGCCGCGUGUGUGAAGAAGGCCUUCGGGUUGUAAAGCACUUUCAGUGGGGAAGAAAGCCUUGGGGCUAAUACCCUCGAGGAAGGACAUCACCCACAGAAGAAGCACCGGCUAACUCCGUGCCAGCAGCCGCGGUAAUACGGAGGGUGCGAGCGUUAAUCGGAAUUACUGGGCGUAAAGCGCGCGUAGGCGGUCUGAUAAGCCGGUUGUGAAAGCCCCGGGCUCAACCUGGGAACGGCAUCCGGAACUGUCAGGCUAGAGUGCAGGAGAGGAAGGUAGAAUUCCCGGUGUAGCGGUGAAAUGCGUAGAGAUCGGGAGGAAUACCAGUGGCGAAGGCGGCCUUCUGGACUGACACUGACGCUGAGGUGCGAAAGCGUGGGUAGCAAACAGGAUUAGAUACCCUAGUAGUC
RNAcentral lists this ribosomal RNA (465 nucleotides) under Vreelandella stevensii. RNAcentral's name for it is "partial 16S ribosomal RNA". It matches the Rfam family "Bacterial small subunit ribosomal RNA", at positions 338 to 795 of the family's 1533-position model. The record is from RNAcentral. Lineage: Bacteria; Pseudomonadati; Pseudomonadota; Gammaproteobacteria; Oceanospirillales; Halomonadaceae.